AUGUUAUUGAUGCUACCACUCACAGACAGGUGGGAGGAGAUCUCUGCUCACAAGGAGGAUCUCAGUGCUCCAGAUAUGAGUGGGAUGAGCCAUGUCUCAUGCUUUCUACAAUGGAUUUUAACUUAAGCUCUAGGACCCAAGAAGCACUGAGAAUUUCCCCUGGAGUCAGGCUGUAUCCCAGCCCUUCUGCAGAACAAGAUUCAGAUCCUCAGACUGAGGAGCUUCCAUACCAAGGUUCACACUCACAACGGAUUACUGCAUGGUUGCAGACUUGGGGCCAAGAAUGAUUCAGAGAAAUAAUCAACUGGGACUUCCUCUCAGAAUUUGCCACCCACCUGAACUGUAAACAUCCCAUCUGAGCCGCCAUUCAUAAUGCAGAGAAGUAAACCAGGUUAGCGUUACUGGGUGUCUUUCUUCUCUGCUUUUUUAAUAUCAAAAGAAGGCUAUAUUGAUAAAGCAUAUACAAUUCCAUAUAUUACAGCAUGCAGAACUGCAUUUUGAGAACGUUCAAUUCUCAGGAUGAGAAGAAACGUUGCACCUCUUUGUGGAGUAAAGCUGCCUCAUCUUGUUGGAGAAAGGAAUGCCAAACAAGCCCAAAAUAGCCUCGGAAAUGUUAGUGGAACAAAAGAUUUCAAGUAUAAGACUCAGAUUUGUACACUGUAAGUCGCAGCAGAGGGAAGGGGAUUUUUGGGCACAACCUUAUCUCAGCUCUUCUUUAUAUUUGCAGUGAUCUUUCUAGAAUGAAAACGCUGAGUGUGGGAAAACUUAGCAGUCACUAAGCACAAUGUCCCCUACACCGUCUGCUUUGUGUACGUAUUAACCAUAGAUUAGAUUGCAUGCACAGCACACCUACCCUGUCUCUGUUAUUAAAGUGCAUAUGGUUUAACAAACACUAAUGACAGACUCUUUUUAUUAGCUUUGCUAUGUGCUCUCACAAUUACUGUCACUCAGUAGGGUUUAUAACUUCCUGCUCUAAUAGAAGGCUGCACCUUGCCUGCCAGUGGGCUCUGCACUUGCUUACUGGUUUCAGUAGAAAUGUAUUUGAGCUGCCCAUUGGACCUCAGAUGAUUGUUAUCUUGUAAAUUGUGGCAGCCUACAAAAAUUAAUUUCUUAAAUUUGGUUUGAAAUGUGCGGGGGGUGGACUCCUCAUAUCUUUUCAUUCAAUACCUCUGAAUUAGUGACUUUUCAAUAAUUUCAAAGAGUACCACUAGAACUAUUUGGGUCUGAAAUCACCCAUUCUCCAUUGACC
This 1249-nucleotide long non-coding RNA is filed under the name Phasianus colchicus (ring-necked pheasant). RNAcentral's name for it is "lncRNA (ENSPCLG00000005602.1)". The record is from RNAcentral. Lineage: Eukaryota; Metazoa; Chordata; Aves; Galliformes; Phasianidae.